This 500-nucleotide ribosomal RNA is filed under the name uncultured bacterium. RNAcentral's name for it is "partial 16S ribosomal RNA". It matches the Rfam family "Bacterial small subunit ribosomal RNA", at positions 30 to 523 of the family's 1533-position model. The record is from RNAcentral.
AUUGAACGCUGGCGGACUGCUUUCCACAUGCAAGUCGAACGGCAGCACGGACUUCGGUCUGGUGGCGGGUGGCGAACGGGUGAGUAAUGUACCGGAAAGUGCCCAGUCGUGGGGGAUAACGUAGUAAAAAUUACGCUAAUACCGCAUACGAUCUAGGGAUGAAAGCGGGGGAUCGCAAGACCUCGCGCGAAUGGAGCGGCCGAUAUCAGAUUAGGUAGUUGGUGGGGUAAAGGCCCACCAAGCCAACGAUCUGUAGCUGGUCUGAGAGGACGACCAGCCACACUGGAACUGAGACACGGUCCAGACUCCUACGGGAGGCAGCAGUGGGGAAUUUUGGACAAUGGGCGAAAGCCUGAUCCAGCCAUUCCGCGUGCAGGAUGAAGGCCCUCGGGUUGUAAACUGCUUUUGUACAGAACGAAAAGGUUUCUACUAAUACUAGGAGCUCAUGACGGUACUGUAAGAAUAAGCACCGGCUAACUACGUGCCAGCCGCAGCAGUAA